Non-coding RNA from Danionella cerebrum, 72 nucleotides. The record is from the annotation of a GenBank genome assembly. NCBI's taxonomy places the organism in Eukaryota, Metazoa, Chordata, Actinopteri, Cypriniformes, Danionidae.
UUUCCUCUGGCUCAGUUGGUAGAGCAUUGCGCAAACAAUGCAAAGGUCAUGGUUUCAAAACUCUGGGGAAAA